RNA transcript from Salvia splendens (bonfire salvia), 1551 nucleotides. It is a transcript of the gene named histone-lysine N-methyltransferase EZ3, with no coding region annotated. The transcript is spliced from 6 exons. The record is from RefSeq and is a predicted model, not a curated record. NCBI's taxonomy places the organism in Eukaryota, Viridiplantae, Streptophyta, Magnoliopsida, Lamiales, Lamiaceae.
UUUUAUUGUUUUAUUUUAUCUAUUUAUGUCUAGUUUUGUAAAUUUCAAACCCAAAACCCUGUUUCUCUAGAUAGUAUAUGACGCCUAGUAUAUGAUAGCCAGUUGCAAUUUUAUUCUCUGUGUUCAAUAUCCCGGUACUUACUUUAUCUCCUCUUUUACUUUACUCUCUCUACUCUUAUCUUUACCACAUCGUGCAGUGUGCGUGUGUAAUUUUAUAAAUAUUUGGAAUUCCACUAGUUUUGAUAUGAAAUUCAAAUCGUGGAAUUAAAGUAUUUGGAAUUGUAAUUCAAUUCCAAAUCCAAGUAUUACUAAACACUUAGAUUUGGAAUUGAAAACUCCAACUCCACCCCCCCAAUUACGUGUACAGAACGAAGCUUAUUUUUAUUUUCUGUACAUUGAGAUUGCAAAACGGUGAAACACAAGCUUCUUAUGCCCAUGUCAGUACGCCCAGUCCACAUAAUAUCAACUUCACUUAUACUUUUCCAUCAGAACUUUUUUCACAUAAAUCAUGGGGUUCAUUUCACAUAGAUGGUAUGUGAAUAUUGUUUAACUCAAUUUGUUUGUCGCAAAAAAUAUAGAAUACACAUACGAAUAGAAUUAAAUAUCGAUUGGCUAAUCCUCCAUCGUUGACCGCUCAAUGGUACUGUAAAAACCAAGUAGUGUGUCAUCCAAUUUUUAACACUUUACAGUUCGGGCUACACACUGUGCUAAAGCUAAACUUCAAAAUAUGUAAUUUGCAUUAUGUAUGGUUCUUAAUCAGCUUGUGGGUUUCGCAUUAUAUUUUUUUUAUUACAUGCAUAUACAUUUUCUUUGUUGCAGGUGUUUGACUGCCGUUUACAUUGUUGUUCCCAAGCUCCAACCUAUCAUAAUGAAAACCAAAUUGGCCAAUUUGUUACAGAAGUGGACCGUAAGCCCUGUGGAGAUGAAUGUUAUCUUUAGCCAUGCGAAUCUACAGGAAAUUCAAUCCAAGCUUCACAUAAAUGGAGCAAUUGGAACCCUUUGGAGAAAUACUUACACCUCAAGGGAUUACAAAUAUUUGGAAGAAAUAGUUGUUAUAUAGCUCGGAAUUUGCUCCAUGGUCUGAAAACUUGCGAAGAAGUAUCUAAAUGAAGCUGGGAGGGAUGGCAUGGAUCCUAUGGAGCCAGAUAUGGCAGCCAAAUCAAGAAUAAGUCGUAAGAGGGGAAGAGUGCGCACCGUCAGUCCUUGUGGAGAGGGAAAGGACAUCCCAUAUAAGCAAUAUUCUCCAUGCAUGUGCCAGCCAACGUGUGGGAAGCAGUGUCCUUGCCUUCAGAAUGGAACUUGUUGUGAGAAAUACUGCGGGUGCUCAAAAAGCUACAAAAAUCGCUUCAGAGGGUGCCAUUGUGCUAAAGGUCAAUGUAAAAGCCAACAAUGCCCCUGCUUUGCAACUAAACGUGAAUGUGAUCUAGAUGUUUGCUGGAGUUGUUGGGUUAGGUAUUCAGUUUUAGUGUCUAUUUAUCACUUCAAUUGGCUUCACCUCUAUUUACCAGUCCAUCAUGGCUUGCAUUUCCCCUAGUAUCUCGUUUUGCUUUA